Molecule: ribosomal RNA, 450 nt
Filed under: uncultured bacterium
Lineage: Bacteria
Description: bacterial SSU rRNA
Rfam family: Bacterial small subunit ribosomal RNA
Source: RNAcentral
AGUUUGAUCAUGGCUCAGAUUGAACGCUGGCGGCAGGCCUAACACAUGCAAGUCGAGCGGGGUUUCGGACCUAGUGGCGCACGGGUGCGUAACACGUGGGAAUUUGCCUCGGGGUAUGGAAUAACUCAGGGAAACUUGAGCUAAUACCAUAUAAUGUCUUCGGACCAAAGAUUUAUCGCCCUGAGAUAAGCCCGCGUAGGAUUAGCUAGUUGGUGGGGUAAAGGCUCACCAAGGCGACGAUCCUUAGCUGGUCUGAGAGGAUGAUCAGCCACACUGGGACUGAGACACGGCCCAGACUCCUACGGGAGGCAGCAGUGGGGAAUAUUGGACAAUGGGCGAAAGCCUGAUCCAGCAAUGCCGCGUGAGUGAUGAAGGCCUUCGGGUUGUAAAGCUCUUUUACUCGGGACGAUAAUGACGGUACCGAGAGAAUAAGCCCCGGCUAACUCCGUG